AGCUUCAACCGCUCUAAGUAAGGUUGUAAAAGUACAUGAAAUGUCACCUUACCAGGCGAGUCUAAGUAGAA
Molecule: small RNA, 71 nt
Filed under: bovine gut metagenome
Source: RNAcentral